Molecule: long non-coding RNA, 101 nt
Organism: Gopherus evgoodei (Goodes thornscrub tortoise)
Lineage: Eukaryota; Metazoa; Chordata; Testudines; Testudinidae
Exons: 4
Source: RefSeq, a predicted model, not a curated record
UUUCUUUCUAGAACUUUAGGAGAAAACAGAAUUAAUAAGACACAUGCACCUUUAUAUAUACUACUGAUUAUCUUAAACUAUGCAUAUUUUUCAUAUUUUAA